RNAcentral lists this long non-coding RNA (32046 nucleotides) under Capsella grandiflora. Its description in RNAcentral is "long non-coding RNA (CGRA_LNC000255)". Lineage: Eukaryota; Viridiplantae; Streptophyta; Magnoliopsida; Brassicales; Brassicaceae. The record is from RNAcentral.
AUAUAUAUAUAUAUAUAUAUGGUAUUUUUGUAUCCAUUGUUGUGAUCUUUCGGUUAUUAGAAAAUAAAAAGGUUUAAAAUAUUAAACAACAUAAUAUAUGUUGGAAUUCAUUGUAUAUAUAUAUAUAUAUAUUCUAUUCGCAUAAUACAAAUCCUACAUGUGCGUCAUGCAUGCGUAAUCAUUGAUUUUACCGGCUUACCUUUUUAUGUUUUUGUUGGUGUCAUGAGAUAUAGUACAAUCUAAUGCGUGAAUUUUAUGGCGUUAUUAUAUUCAAUUAUGGAAUUAUUAGCUCUGUGCUUGGACCUAAUGAGUGAUUUAGUUAGGUGAUCAAGAAGAAAAACAAAAGUAACCAUCACUGUUAAGUGUAAAUGUCCUACCCCAUACCAACCCAACGAUGGAUAAUAUUGUUUGAUAUCUCAUUAUUUUCCCAGGAUUAGGUGUCUUAUUUGGUCUCUUUGAUAAAAUGUCUAGUUCAACAUAAUUAUCAAUUUCUACUUGGAAAACUCUUCUUCUUCGUUUUUUAGGUCAUCCCUUAUGAAUUUUACUUGUUUUAUCUUAUAGUAUAUCGUAUUGUUAAUAUAAAUUCUAAACUUCUAGCUCAUCUCUUGCAAAAUAUUAUGGUUGUUUAUCAUCUUUUAAUUUAUUGGGCGCAUCAUCAUGAGCUUGAUUGUUUUUAUCUUCGAUAAUUUGGUUUGAUUGAAUAAGACGUUGUUCUUUCACGUCCUAUACAAUUAACAAAACGCAAAAACAAAGCACCUAUAUAAUUAUAAUCUGAAGGCAAAACUAUACAUAAAUAACUCACGAAAACUCGUCGAAUUAAACAUUUAUAUCCAUGUUAUGUCGAUAUCAAGAACAAAUAAAAUACACACAUAUAUAUAUACGUACAUAUCCCUGGUAUGGUUUCACACACAAUACAACAAGAGCAGAGUACAGAGACACAGAAGCUUUUAUUCCAUUAACUAAAAUCUAACUUUAAAGUCAGUAUACUCAAAACUGAUCUUGACGUAUGUAAUAUUGCCAGUACCAACAUGUGUGCCUUCAUCAUAAUUUAUGUAUAUUUUUACUUUUAUGCCAAAUUAUAUCGUUUCGAUAAGGUCCAUACUCCAUAGGGACGUUGAAAUAUAUAUAUAUUUUUUUCAUAUUAUUUUUGUUUCCACUCAUUGUUUUCCUUUUAUUUUCUUCAUAAAGUUUUCCCACUCAUAGUUGUUUUGUUCACCAACCUUCUCAUUACCAAGACCAAGAGAGACGUAUAAAAUCGCAAAACGAAUUAGAUCGUCGUCAUUUUUUAUAUAUGUCGUCGACCCUAUAUAUGUGACUUUUAUCGACAUAUAUACUUUUCUACUUAAACAUUUUUAAUACGCCAAACUUACGGAUUCUUCAAAAUUUACACUAGUUAAAAAAAAGAAAAAAAAAACAUUGUUUUCUCAAUAUUGAAAAACGGAUUUAUUUCCCACCUUUAUUCUUCUUAAUAAUUAACGUUAAAAAAGUGUUCCGUAUUUUAGUUCAAAUUAAAUUCUCCAUUACUUUCCAUAGUUGAUACUCCAAGAAAAUGUAUGGAGCGUAGUAUAUAUAUUAUAUAUAGUGUGGUGGCUUGGAUAUAAAUAUAUCGUAAUUAAUAAUUUUUGGAUUUGGAUGGUACAGGGAAAUUAAUAAAGUAAUGAAGGUUUGGUGAAAUUAAGUAAUUAACGUAGCCAAGUGCCAACAACAACACCAAACCCACCAAACAUUAAGAAACAAAAAAAAAGUCAAAAAAGACGUAAGUCUUUGACCUCCUCCUCCACUACUACUCUCUUUUAGUCUUCCAGUUUGGUGAGUUCGUUCGUGCACUAUGUAUGGUGUGAGCAUACUAGUCCUUCAGCUUUUUUGGUGUUUUCGGAUGCGAUUAGAUAUUACCUUUUUUCAAGGUUUCUUUAUUUCUUCUGACUCUCAUUUCAAAUGUUCUGUUUAAGGAUUACAAAAUUUUAAACGUCCAUUUUCUUUGUACAUAUAUCAAAAGUUGAAACAAUUUCAUUUAGUUUUAAUGUCGACUGUUGACAAAAAUAAAUAAAUAAACGAGUAUAUUCCAUGUCAUGACGUAUGGAGUGACUGCGUUAUAAACAAAAAGAGCAUUAUGUUACUGAGAGUUCAUUUUUCUCGUGUUAUACUGUAUCUCCCAUUGCAUGCUCACGGGAUAUCUCUAUUAUAUUCAAAAGUUGGUAAUUGUACAUAAUAGAGUCUGAUUAGAGGAGACACAAAUAAACAACAUAAUCAAUUCCAGUGUAUAUAUAUAAUUAACCUUAACCUAGUUCUUAAUUAACAAGUUGCAGCUUUUAGAUUCUCAUUUAGUCAAAAACACUACCUAAUAUUUUGCUACUUUGUAACUAUUAUAUAUAUAGUAGAUUAAUGACUCCACCUGUGAUUUCAAAUAUUUAUAUUCUAAUUAGUUGAUACGUAACUUUAUUAUCAUCAUUCAUUCGGGCUGUAGUUUUGUAAGAACAUUUUAAUAUAAUUACACUUGUCGACAUACUACAAUUUUGCAUAUGUCACAUUUGAAAAUAAAGUUUUAUACGAGACGCUAGUUUUGGUGAUAAUAAUGAAUUUUGGUGUCGAAAAAGGAAGAAAAUACAAAAAGUGAUGAAACAAAUGUGAAAUAUAUAUACAAGCAUCGCUGUUAAAAGAAAAGAUUAAAAGUUGCAUGCAUCAUGUGGAUGCCAAAUCAAGUAAAAAUAUGAGAAAAUGGAAUCAUACCAAAUAAUCAACCAUACCACAGACAACCUUUUCCCACUCAACAAAUCUGAUUUGACAUUUAUCAGUUCCUCUGUUUACAUUCUCACUCUUCCAAGAUCGAUCAGAUCACACACUCUUCUCUUAACCUCUCGUGUAUAUAUAAAACAGAACCACUUAUAUAUAUAUAUAUUCGGUAACGAAAAGGUGAAUCUCAAUACUGAGUGAUACUAUACUAUUAAAGUUAUAUAUAUAUAUAUAGAUACAGAAAUUAGAAAGAGGAGAGAGGGAGAGAGAAUGGGGAAAGGAAGAGCACCUUGUUGUGACAAGACCAAAGUGAAGAGAGGUCCAUGGAGCCCAGAAGAAGAUUUGAAACUCAUCUCUUUCAUUCAAAAGUUUGGCCAUGAGAACUGGAGAUCUCUUCCCAAACAAUCUGGUAUGCUGUUGCUAUCGUGUUCCUUUUCUUUAUUAAUGGAUCAUCAUAUAAUCAAAGCAAAAGCCUUCCUUUUUAGUGGCUUUAUUUUGUACGUAAUUUAUGAUUCUAGCUGAAUGGGUAUAAUUAAUUAUAUAUGAAGGGCUAUUGCGGUGUGGGAAGAGUUGUCGUCUGAGGUGGAUCAACUACCUCAGGCCAGAUCUGAAGCGUGGCAACUUCACUGCAGAGGAGGAAGCAACCAUCAUCAAGCUCCACCAAAACUAUGGAAACAAGUAACUAAAUAUUCAUCACUUGCCUUUUUAUUAGUGUUUUUUUUGUUGUUGUUGUUGUUGCUCAUGGGGUGGUUUUGAUAUGGACACUAAUAAGCUUUCUGCAUUUUUUGAUCAGGUGGUCGAAAAUAGCUUCUCACCUUCCAGGUAGAACAGAUAACGAAAUCAAGAAUGUGUGGCACACCCACCUAAAGAAAAGAUUGGUUCAGAGCUCGGGAACCGAUCAUACUGCAGACGAGCCAGCUAAUUCAUCACCUUGUUCAAGUGACUCUGUUUCUCGAGGAGAGGUUUCUUUGAACAGAACAACGAGGAAUGCCUUGUCUACAUCUGUGUCUUCCGGUGGUUCCAACCAUUCAAUCCAGGAAGAUGAUCCAAAGAUAGGCAUGACGUUUGAGUACAUAGAAGAAGCUUAUAGCGACUUUAACGACAUUAUUCAAGAGGUGGACAAACCCGAUCUGCUGGAGAUCCCUUUCGAGCCAGAUCCUGACAUUUGGAGUUACUUAGAUGCUUCAAACUCGUUUCAACAGUCCGCUGCAAAUGAGUUCAGCUCAGCUUCACGACCAGAGGAAGAGUCUGAUGAGGAUGAGGUUAAGAAAUGGUUCAAGCACCUGGAAAGCGAACUCGGGUUAGAAGAUGAUGAUGGUCAACAACAGAGGACACAUGACAAUAAAGAAGAGUCAUCAUCAUCACUACUGAAGAACUACGAGCUCAUGAUACAUUAAAUGAAACCAAAAGGCUGUUUUUUCUUUUUGUAAGUUUUAUUUUCAUCCAUGACCAAGAAAAUAAAUACUUAUUUAAUGGAAAGGUAGGUAUAGUAGAGAAAAAAAUGUAUUUGACAUUUUUUAGUAGCCUGUAGAUAAAAACAGAGUUGGUCAAUUACUAAAGCUUGAGACUAAACUAUCUGAAAGAUUCUUUGAUAGAAUCUGGAAGAUUAAUUGACUGAUAGCUUCGUAUUGAAAUUAUGGUAGUCAAUCUAUUUGAAGAAGGAUAUUGUUGGGUAGGAUUGGUUUGAAAUACCUCCAUCAUCUAACAACAGAACAAGAAGACUAGUUGCUGAAUAACUAAGUAAAUUAUACAGUAAAGCAAGCAAGGUUCCUUUUUCCACAUAACAAGUUUGAAACAACAAUGAUGCAUCUAUGUAUGUUUUGAAAUCUUUCCUGAAAUUUAAUGGAGAUAGACAAAAAAGAAAGAAAGAGAGGAAUAUAGAUCUUAGUUUACUUGACAUAGAAGAAACAUGAUUUAGGGAAGAUAAUAAACUUUUUACUUUCAAGCUCUCUAUCAGUUUAUCCUAUACGAUCGUUUCAAAAGAUUGGGGUUUUUAUGUGAAAAGAUAUUGUUGGUUUGUUUUACGUCAACUGCAUAAGAUUUUAGGCCUGUUUUGAAGAUUCCGUACAAAUAUCAGGUCUAUUUUAGAUUAUGUAACAGGUUUUGUUUACAAUUCUUAACAAAUACCAGGUCAAUUUUGUAAUAAUGUAUAAAUAUCAGGUUAACUUUGCGUUAUUUCUUAAAACCCUACCUAAAGGAGCAAAAGUCCCGGGUCUUUAUUUUCCGGCAAUUUGUGCCACCGAGACUUGAUACAGUUUUGACCGGUCGGGUCGGGUCAGGUCAUAGUCACUAGUCCAUCCCUGUUUUCUGCUACAAGAAUUGACUUCAGUUUCGCGGUUCCAUCUCUCGCACUCUGUUUGGUGAUUUUGUAUAAUUUGAUCGGACUCAAUGGAAAAGUCCGUCGUCAUCCGCCGUGAAACCGAUGGAGAAGACGUGAAUGAGAGAGAAGGCAUCUUUGCACAACUGAAAGUUCUCUGCUUGGAGCUUAUAAACCUAUCGCAAAACCCUCAAAAGGAUCCGGCCACGAUCCCUGCUUUGCUCCACCUCCUCCGCCGUACUCCUCCAUCCACUCUCCAGUCCUUCUUCAAGUAAUUAUUCCCCACAUCCCCGUUUUUUUUUUUGGUUGCUCACUUUUCUCGCAUCUGUUUAUCUUCUAUACAUGAGCAAUUCAAUUUUCAGGUUUAAUAGAGAGUUUAUAUUUUUCAAUGUUCUAAUAAGUUGGAACUGCUUUAUUUGAUGUACGUUUCAGCUACACUUUGUUUCCAUUGCUUCUUCUGUUAGACGCCGCAGUUGCUUGCAGAAGUCAGGGGAAAAAUCAGCUUGAGGAAUUUCCAGCUACACCGUAUAGAGUCAGUGAUAAAGUGGCGGAAGGUGUAAUCUAUUGUCUUGAGGAACUUCUAAAGAAAUGUUACAUUGGAUCCAUUGAUCAGGUGAAGUGGUUUUGAAUUCUCACUUACUUUAGUUUUAAUAACAUAUUCUCAGCUUAGUUUUAAUACAAUGCUUGUUGAAAAUUUCUCCUAUAGAUGGUUGUAAUUAUGAAGAAGUUAACUAGUGGUGCUAUUUUAUCCCCAUCCGAGGCUGCUGAAGAGUUUCGUGAAGGAAUCGUCAGAUGUUUCCGGGCGAUGAUCUCUGGCCUGCUUCCAUGCUCUGAUGAUUCUUGCUCAUGUAAGCUCACUGUUGGCCGGCCUCAACUGUCAGAUAUGAGAGAUUAUCAGACUCAAGUUUCAGAGUCUUUUCAGUAUGAUUUUGAAACACGAGAAUGCUUGCUUGCAUUUCUUCAGUCUCACUCUGCUUUGGCUGCUGUGGGUCAUUGGCUUUCCAUCCUCCUCAAAGUAACACUCUUUUCUCCCUCUGCUUUCCUUUCUCUUUCCUAUGGAGUCUUUGUAGUUGUCUACACUCUAAAGUAAAAUCAAUUUUUAUCACUGCCUACAGGUGGCUGAUGCUGAGGCUUCUCGAGGACAUCGAGGAAGUGCAAAUCUUCGAGUUGAAGCCUUUAUGGCUUUACGGAUACUUGUGGCUAAGGUUACUAUUAAAAUUCUUAAAAAUUAAAAUAGGAACCGUUUUGGGGGAAAACAUCUUCUGGACUAUUUUUACACUUAUGGUUCCUAAUGUGAACAUAAUGCUUGUUGUAGAUUGGUACUGCUGAUGUGCUGGCCUUUUUUCUACCUGGUGUUGUUAGUCAAAUUGCCAAAGUGCUGCAUGUUUCGAGAGCAAUGAUAAGUGGAGCUGCAGGAAGUGUUGAUGCAUUGGACCAAGCACUUAGAAGUUUAGCCGAGUUUCUUAUGAUAGUCCUUGAAGAUGAGGCUAACUCAUUGGCUCUUGGCAUUUCUGAUGAUGAUACUAAGGUGCAUAGGCAUGAAUCUGCACACUCAAUUUUGGGCAAACUUCGUUCUCUGACAACAAAAUUUCAAGGGCAGAGCGACGAGCUGACAGAAAUUACAAACCAAGACAUCGUUACCGUCAAUGUACCUGCAAAAUUGAAUCUGAAUACGAGUCAAGAUUCCUUUCAUGUUGAACGUACAAAGGAAUGGUUAGAUACCACUACUUCUCACGUGAAUAAGCUGCUGUGUGAGACAUUUCCUCAUGUAUGCUAUUUCUUCUAGUGCUACGUUCAACACUUUUAUCCCAAAUCUUUUGUAACUGUUUUUUCUUAAUGGUGAUGUCUUAAUUGGUUUCAGAUUCUUAUUCACCCAGCCGGAAAAAUACGAUGGGGAUUUCUAGCAGCAAUACGUGGAUUGCUAUCUAAGAGCUCUUGUUCCCUGAAGGGUGCUAGAUUAGAGAUGUUGGUAGGUUCAUAACUAAUAACAACACAUGAUCUUGGAUAUUUGAUAUUUAUUUUCCAAGGAUUUUGGCGCUAGAUAUAUUUCUUAUAAUGAUGCAGGAAUGCGUAUGUACUCUGGCUGUUGAUGACUCCGAUGAAGUUUCUGUAGCAGCUCAGGAACUUCUUGAUCAUUUAUUCUCCAAACGUACAUAUCACCACAUAGAGAGUGAUAUAAUCAAGAUCUUUAGCAGGUAUUGUUUGUUUGUUGUUAUAUUGUUUCUUUCUUUUGUAACCAGGUCACUUAAUGUGUUUUAUUCUUCUUUUGGGGCUUGUUUAUGAAAACAGACUGCUUGAGCGGCUUCCAAAAGUGGUUCUUGGGAAUGAAGAAUUGCCUGCACUUUCAGUGGCGAAGCAGUUACUUGUCAUCACUUAUUAUUCUGGUCCGCAGUUUUUGGCGAAUCAUCUUCAGUCUCCCGUAUGUAUUCUUUCUUGACACGCUCAUAGGUUUGGUGCCGCUUCUUUCUUCUAUCAGCAAAAAUCUAGUUCCAAAACAACCAUGGUCUAAUAAUGGCUUGCGAUAUAUGAUUAGUUCUUGGCAUUCUGUUAUGUAGAUAACAGCCAGCAGAUUCCUGGAUAUAUUUUCUCUCUGUCUGAGCCAUAAUUCAGCAUUCACCGGUUCUCUUGAGAAACUCAUCGCAGAAAGGCCUUCAUCAUCGACAGGUUACCUCCCUUCAAUCACAGAAUUAAAAGUGGGGUUUCGGGAGACCAGAUACAACCGUACAGUUCCAAAUAUCACUGAAUCAGAUCAAGUAAAAUUAGAGAUAUCGUCGCCCACUAGCUAUAUGUUACCUCGCAUGCCUCCGUGGUUCUCUCAUGUUGGUAGCCAGAAGCUCUAUGAAAUGCUUGCUGGAAUCCUUAGACUUGUAGGUUUAUCCUUAAUGGCAGGUCAUUUCAAAUUCCUUUGAAACCAUUUGUUUCUGAAAAUUACCCUGCAGUUAACUUAUAGAUGAGUUGGUUACUGAUAGUAAAUGAUCUCCUUGUGUUUGUGUUUGCUAGGAUUUAAAAAUGAAGGGCAUUUAGCAGUCAUCCUGGAUAUUCCUCUGGGGGUUUUUCGUAAACUUGUUUCAGAUGUUCGUGUAAAGGAGUAUAAUGGAGAAGACUGGCAAUCUUGGUGUAAUCGAACUGGUUCAGGACAGUUAGUUCGCCAGGCGGCAACUGCUGCUUGUAUACUGAAUGAGAUGAUUUUUGGUUCAACGGAUCAAGCAACUGAUGCUCUCGCAAGACUACUUCAGAAGUCGAGAAAGGGUGGUGACAAACUUUCCUGGAAAAUCUCAUGGAACAAACGUGCAAAAAGUCAUCUGGUUGAUUGUGUUGGUAAGAUCUUGCAUGAAUACCAAUCUUCUGAAGUGUGGGAUCUCCCUGUGGAUCAAAAGACCAUUCCCGGGCAAACCGAUACCAAUGUUCAACAUAUUAGUCUGCAUUUCUUAAGAGACUGUGCAAUGCUAUACCAAGUUAUAAUAGAAGGAGUAGGUGUGUUUUCCUUGUGUCUCGGGAAAGAUUUUGCUUCAAGUGGGUUUCUUCACUCUUCGCUUUACCUUCUGCUUGAGAGUCUUACCUGCUCCAGCUUCCAAGUUAGAAAUGCUUCAGAUGCUGUCUUACGUCUUCUUGCUGCCACCUCUGGCCAUCCCACGGUGAGAAUUUAUGAUAAUGUAAUUGGAGUGUAUAAUCACAUCAAAGUACCCUUUCUGAAAUCAGAAUCUUGCUGUUUUUUGUUUGUUUGUUUUGCAGGUUGGGUAUCUGGUUGUUGCAAAUGCGGAUUAUGUUGUUGACUCUAUUUGUCGUCAGCUGCGCCACUUGGAUCUUAAUCCUGGUGUUCCAAAUGUUCUUGCUGCUAUGCUUUCCUAUAUCGGAGUUGCUCAUGAUAUACUGCCUUUAUUGGAGGAACCGGUAGUGAACAGUUUUUUCCUUCAUUUAACAUUGCCUUUCUUUGAUGUUCGUUUGUAAUCAGUGCGUUAAAGAACUUCUUUCUUUUUUUUUUUUCCCUUUUUGGGGGAUUUGCAGAUGCGAUUGGUUUCCCAGGAACUAGAAAUUGUUGGUAGACAACAGCAUCCAAAUCUAACUUCACCCUUCUUGAAGGUAGAUCCAAUCUUUCAAUUUUUUCUCUUGUAGUCUUUUAAAACUAAUUUGUUUUCUUGGUCUAAGAAACCUCACAACCUUUGUUGGUACUUUUUGUAGGCUGUUGCUGAGAUUGUAAAAGCAUCUACGAACGAGGCUUGCCUAUUACCUGAUCAAGCCCAGUCAUAUAGUGAUCAUGUUAAGACCAAAGCAUCUGAUGCGAUAACAUCAAGGCAAGAGAGAGGUUCAGAUUAUGACAAUAAAGUUAAUGACGAGGAUGAAUGGGAAAACAUACUGCUCGAAUUGAAUCGUUUUAAGCGAUACAGACACACAGUUGGAUCGAUCGCCUCUUCGUGUUUAGUUGCAGCAACGCCUCUCCUUGCAUCAUCAAAUCAAGUAUCAUGCUUGGUUUCCCUCGAUAUAAUUGAGGUAGAUUGCCAUUGGAUUAAUUUUUGUUGAGCUCUCUCUCGGACAUUUCCGCAACUGAACUUAAAUCGUAACUUUCAAUUAUACAGGAAGGAGUAGUGGCACUGGCUAAGGUCGAGGAAGCUUAUCGAGCUGAGACAGAAACCAAGGAAACAAUUGAAGAAGUCAUUGAGUUUGCUUCACUCUAUCAGCUUAAAGACUACAUGAAUGCUACAGACGAUGGAGCAGUCGAAAACCGGCUUUUACCCGCUAUCAACAAAAUCUGGCCUUUCUGUGUUGCUUGCAUACGAAACAGAAAUCCCGUGGUACAUUCUCUAUCUCUUCCUCUUCUGAUUUUAUUUAUAGAUUUAAUGGGUUUUUUUUUCCACAGGCUGUGCGCAGAUGCUUAACCGUGAUAAGCCGAGUCAUUCAAACAUCUGGAGGAGAUUUUUUCUCACGUCGUUUCCGCAACGAUGGACCGGAAUUUUGGAAGCUUUUAACAACAUCUCCAUUCUACAUUAUGACGCCAAAGAACCUCCGGGACGAAAGCAAAUCGGCUCUCCGGCUUCCUUACAGAACUGUUCCCGAGUCGUCUUCUUUGAUUGCUGAAGUUUCCAGCUUGAAAGUGCAGGCUGCACUUCUCGACAUGAUUGCAGAGAUUUCUAGAGACAAACGCAGUGCUUCAGCGUUAGAUGCAGUCUUGAAAAAAGUUGCGGGACUGGUCGUUGGGAUCGCUUGCAGCGGCGUAACUGGCUUAAGAGAAGCGGCUUUGAAUGCGUUGAGAGGUUUGGCUUGCAUUGAUCCUGAUCUAAUUUGGAUUCUGUUAGCCGAUGUGUACUAUUCUCUCAAGAAGAGAGAUUUGCCUCUUCCACCGUCUCCAGAGUUUCCAGAUAUGUCUAAGGUUCUGCCUUCGCGGCCGCUGGAAGAUAGUCGGACAAAGUUUCUCUACGUAGAGUAUGGUGGUCGGAGCUAUGGUUUUGAGUUGGAGUUUAGCUCCGUUGAGACCAUCUUCAAGAAAUUGCAGUCUCUGGUCUUUGUAGACCAAAUGCAUUGUUAAUAAUUUUGCUUGUAAGUGCUGUUCCGAUAACAACAUAUGAAACUAAUUUAUUAUAUAACUCUGAUAAUUCUGGAGAUUGAAAAAUACAUUUGUUACUAAUUUAUUAGGCACUAAUAAAACAGUGGGGGUGAGAUUCAAAAUACGAAAACGGUACGGGGGUUAAAAUGAAAAUUUUAGCAUCGAGAUCCGACCCGGGAAUUCUGAAUCCUGGUCUUAGGGCCCAAACAAACAAAUAAAUAUGUCGUCCCCUUGCCCAUUCUCUGGUCGCUAAAGUGAGUCGGAAAAAAAAAAAAAAAAAAAAUCAUGGGAAGCGAACGGAGCCCCAAGGAGAAGAAGAGAAGCAGAGGUCGGAGCCAAGAUGAUCCUUCGUCUUCCGAUUGUAUGGUUCUUCUUUCCUAUCGUUUUCUUAUUUUUCAGUGUUAGUGAUUUAUCCAUUCGUGUAAAUUACGAGCAUCAUAGCUAUUCAUUCGUGUUCCCGGUUCUGAUUUGAACUUUGAAAAUGUGGACGAUGACAUGAUUGAGAGACUGUAUGUUGAAAUUGUAGUUCUUAUUAAUGGACAGACGAAGAGAAAGUUGUUAAAAGGCAUCGAGGAACGGAGAAAGACGAUGAAAGGACAAGUAGGAGAAGUGACAAGAAGAAGAAGGAGAAGAAAUCUCACAAGCACCACAAAUCGAGUUCAUGUAUGUUGUUAUUUCUUAAGCCAUUUCCGAUUUCUGACAUGAUUGUCAGUAGUGAUAGCAUGCGAUGGGUGGUUAGAAUCACCUUGUUUAUAUAUGUAUAGUCUAGUUAUAAAGUUUGUGGUAUGGUACUAAUAUUCAUGUCUUUGCUUCUUCAUCUUGUUGGUUUGAGCUGUUACUUUGUUGUUGCUGAAUAUAUCUAGUGAGUUGUGUUUUCUUUUUCUUGUAUGCCAUUUACGAAGCAUCAAUGUAGCUUUGUUCUAAUUGUGUGUUCUCCUAGGGAGGAAAGAGUUUGUAGUCAGAUCGAACCUGUUGUUAGGGGAGCAUUAUAACCUGUUGUUUUGGUUACAACUAAACGACUAUUUAUCUCUCAUCAGCAGCAUGACUUCUUCUAUAUCAUGUGUCUCUCCUUUUCAGUAUGAUCUGUUUUUCUUUCUACUGACAUUGUUUUAUUUUUACAGCUAAGUCAAAGGAUGAUAAGCAUAAAAAGAAACAGGUGGAAGGUGACAGCAAGCUAGUGAGCUCUCUCUAUCUCUCUUACUCUGUCAAAUAAUAUACUCAUUCAAAAGGACAUCUGAUAGUAUAUUUCAGUCGAACUAUAUUUGUUUUGGAGACUCUGUUUGUGAUUCUUUGCAGGUCUCUUCCUUUUGUUUAAGCAUGGUUUAGUUACAAAUGUCUCCUUACCCUAUUGUGUAAUGUUUAACGGAUGAUUAUCCUAAUUGAGAUUCUGAUAUAAUAUUUUUCUUUUCCGUCUUCUUCUUCCAGAAAGAGGGGAUUCCAGAGCUAUCGAUCGAGGACUACUUCUCGAAGAACAAUGAGUUUGCUACGUGGCUGAAAGAAGAAAAGCGUACUUUCUUUAAUGAUCUCACUACCGAAGCUGCACGAGAAUUGUUUUCACGUUUUGUCAAGAGAUGGAACAGAGGGAAACUCGAGUCUCGAUACUAUGAGGGAAUCUCCACUGCCCCACGAACAGCUCAUAACUGGAUGAUCAAGCGUAGGUGAAGAAACAAUAACUUCCUCUACUGUGCGUUGUUGGUUACCUCUCUUCUUGCUUCUUAUGUAUACGCAGCCUAAAGGUAUCAGAGAUGCCUCGUUCUGGUUGCUCUACUUAGACCUCUUGUUGCAGUACUUGUUAGAUAGAUUGCUGUUGAGAGACUUGUUUGUAGUCGAGCCAGUUUUCAGUCGAAGUAAAAACAUACCAUUAAAGUUGCUGAAGGACUAUCUCAUUAAUCCUUAUGUAAACCAAAAACGGCUUAGGUUUACUGCUUUUAGUUGUCCUCUUAUUCGGCUAUUGCACUUUUCAAGAUUUUGAUUUACUGCGGAUUGUGUAUUAUUACGGAGUUGGCAGCAUACUGUAGCUGCAGCUUCGGUUUAAGUAAUUGGUUAUAUGAAACUAGAUUUUCACAAAAGAGACUUUCAAAAAGAGUGAAUAAACAGAUUCUAAAUCGGGUUAAGAGUCUUAACAAAUUCCAAAAGUUUUACAGAAGCAAGAACCAUAACUCUGUGCAACUAGCCAGAAAAAAAAAAAAAAAAUGCUGAAAUUCAAAUCCGGGAUUGUUGCACGGUUAAGUGAAAGAUUACUCGACUUCAGCUAAGUAAUCAUCAAUUUCUGCUGGUGUUAGUACCCUGCAUAUAACAUUUUCCUUUCAGAUUUCGAUGGCAGCAACAAUGAUUCUUGAUAUGAUUAGUUUGCAGUCUUGAACGUUUACCUGAAAACUUUGUCAGCACCUAUUUUGCCGAUCUCAAUGUUUUUGCUCGAGAUUUCUCCCUCAAAACUGUGAAGAGAAAGAAAGACACAAAGAGGUUUUAGGCAAUUUGUGAAAUUUCGAAAUAUAGAAAGAAAGUAGUGUUGGUUAAACAUUCUCACCCUUCCUUCAAUGUCAAUAUUGCCGUGUGAAUGGCAUCAUCAAGUUCCAUAUCUUCUGUGUACCUGUUCAGAGGAAAAGAUGACAUGACAUGUUUCCAAGAUCAUAAACUCAUCAUCACAAAUGGUAAGUUAUUAUCACCUCUUUUCAAGAAACGUCUUUGCAUUCGAAACAUUCUUUCCCAUUGCCGAAGCUUUCCAUGAGAAAUAAGAGCCAGAUGGAUCCACCUAGUGAAAAAUGAAAAUCAUGAAACAAGAUGUUUCUGAUUUAUGGGUUUUACUUCAACUUUUAGCACGAUGGUUAUAUUUUCUUUAAUGUUCUAGAUACCUGAUACAGUUGUGGACCCUUGUCAUCAUACCCAGCCACCAGUAGAGAAACUCCAAACGGCCUAACACCACUAUUAACAGGAAAAGGAGACUGAUUUUAGAAGCAAGUUUCAGUAGUCUAGUUUAUGUAUAUAGAUUUUCUUUAACAACAUUAUUUCAUGCCAAAAUCGAUCUUUAAAACUAAGGUUAAAAGCUUUAAAGUUGCAAUCGCUAAGCUAGUCCUUUAACCCUGUUGAGCAUAUGGGAGAUUGUUUAUACACUAGACAUAGUACUUACCCUGACUGAGUGAACUCUUGCAUCACCGUGGCAGUUUCCCUUACAAGUUGAGUAACAGGGAUGGGUUCCUGCAACAAUAAAACCCCUUAAAAGUUGAAUUAACUGAGCAAACAGGGUUAUGGAUAUGCAAACUCAUAUCGACUGGAAUUAUCAAAUCCAAAACAGCAAGGAUUGAAGAUUUGUCAUACAGUGUUACUCGAUACUCGAAGAAAAAAAGGUAGACAAAAGGAGAAGAUAUAAAGAUUACUUUGUACAAUCGGAGAUAUUGCUCAGCCUGCUUCCUACUCUUUCGCACAAGAACACGAAAAUCAGGACCCAUACCACUACAUAAAAGGCAAUACCAAAGUUAGCAUUAAAAUUGAUGAGGGAACUAAGGAAAAGGUUGAUCUUCAUCAAUAGCACUAGCAUUUAAUGAGAGAUACUAAGUACCCAGAACAAAAUAAAAAGAAGGUCUGAUAAAUCCAAAUUUCAAAAUAUGAAAUCAAAUGCGCAAUUAGCAAAAGAAGUAGGGAUAGCUGUGGAGAAGAACCUGUAAACAGUUCCAAUGUUGGGAGUCAAAUGCUGAAUCUUUUGAACCUGAAAGAGACAUCAGAUAAAAACAUUAGUAUCAUAGGAGUGACUGAAACUAUGCAACCUAGGAGGAAAAAGCAGGCACAGAAGGAAGAGGUUAUCAACUUACAGACGCUUCAUCGACAAGAAUAGAGGGCAGUUUCUUUUCUGUUGCAAUGACAACUCCGUUUGAAGCUGCAGAAAGAAAGUAAACCAGGGUCAUGAUUAUAUUAUAUAUAUGUACAAGUUGCUUAAAAUCUCUUUCUAGAAAUUAAACGAAAAAACCUUUAAUUCCCAGAGAUGUUUGGCCUGAUCCGACAGCUGUUAAGGCAUGUUCUAUCUGAACCAGCUUCCCUGAAGGGCUGUUCCAUAAACCAGAAGCGAAAUUAAACACAGAAGAAACAGAUCCAAAUUACUAGAAAAUGAGAUGCAUUUUGUAAGAUAGAUACCUGAACGUGGUGAGAGAAAAAGAGUACUGACUGUCACCCAUUGCAAAGAUACCUUUAAGAAAUCUGUAAAAAUCCAAAAUCAUUGUCAUUUUCUAACCAGUUUUUUUUUUUUUUUGCAACAUGGAAGUGCUGAAUCUGCCUAAACCACAAAUAUCCAAAUGAUCCCACACAUUGAUUUCACACAACUAAACCCAAUUAGUAGAACAACUAAAGUCUGAGCAAGUACACUGGUGCGAUUAAAUCUGACAAAAGCUUAGAUGGAAAAAAGGGGACGACAGUCUCAACGGAGAUGAGCUGAAUAGAUGAAAAAGAUAAGAUAACAAUCCGAAUUAAGAACCGUAAGGGCAUCAACUCGAAUUCAACGAUCAGCUCUCUAGCUCAAACUUGGAGACUAACAAAAUUUAAUCUUUAAUAACCCAAAAAAUUCAAUAGAUUUUCAGUUUUCAGUUAAGAUUGGAGAAAAGAAACGCAUCCAAUAAAAAAAAGUAACAGAAGAUAGCAUCAUUACCUCUUGAUAUAUGGAUAACGAAAUGCAUGCAAGAGAGAAAGAGAUGAACCAAGUGACGAUUUUAAGCUUUAGGUUUCUUGCACAAAGGGUUGCACUGAGAGAGAGAGAGAGAGACUCUUCUUCACAUGAAAAAGAAGAUGAAUAACGAAACGACGUCGUUUUAUGGCCUUUAUUACACUUGCCGUAAUUUACAAACCACUCCAAUAUUUUAUAUGUACUUUGGGUUUGGACCACAUUAUAUUUAUUAUUUAUUACCACACGCACUCUCGCGUCCGCGGUCGACUCGGACAAUCAUAAUCGUGGCAAACCUGGUCCGAAGUCACUGUGGAUCUUUCUCCGUCGGUGGGAGUUUGUUUCUUCGCUCAUUCAUGUGAAGACUUGUUGUUGUAUUGCCUAGCUAUUUCUUUUGCUAGCUAUUUCUUUCGGAAAUUGAACGGAGCAAGCAUACGUUGUGAAAUGCCACUGCUUGUUUUGUUGAGGCAGAUUCAUUUUUGAUUCUGGGUGAUAAAUUUCCUCCUUUAUUUCUCCGUUGCUAUUAAUCUCUGGAUUACGACCUUCGAAUGCAUUCGUUGGGCAAGAGAAAUUUCUUAGCUGUUACCAGAUUAGUGUUUACUAGUUCGCGUUACAGAAUCCCCUUGUCUGCGACCUUUAUCACCAAGUGUUCGACGUUAUGCCUGGAUGAAGCUGAAGAAUGCAUUGACGAUUCUGGGCUGUCGGUUGUGUCGUCUAAGAAACUGAAUCACAGAAAAGAAGGUAAUUGUGUUGGAGAAGUUAGUGAUAAAGAGAGAGUGAGAGAGAUUCUUAGUCCUUUACAAGUUCUACGGAGAUGGGGUUGUGAUGAUGAUGAAAUAUCAAAGCUUUUCACUCGUAGGCCUUCUUUGCAGAGAGCCAAUGUCUCUCAACUAGAGUUUAAGUUAAGCCUUCUUAAGCCUUUGGGAAUCACAUCUUCAGACCUUGUGAAGAUUCUAAAUUGUCGGCCAAGGUUCUUUAGCUGCCGUAUUCACCUUGUCCUUGAUGAAAGAAUCAACUACUUCAUGGAGAUUUUGGGGUCAAAAGAGGUGUUGCGCAAAGCCAUUAUCCGGAAUCCCUCGCUCAUGUUGUAUGACCUCGAUCACAAGAUCAAACCCGCGAUAGAGUUCUACAAACGGCUGGGCUUUAGCCAACAGGAUCUUGUCGCAAUGUUGAUAUCUCGACCCACGUUGAUCCCAAGAACAAACUUUAACAAAGAGAAGUUUGAAUACAUUCGGAAAACUGGGGUCACUAGAGAAUCCAAGAUGUUUAAAUAUGUUGCAGCCAUCAUCGGGGUCUCCAGGAUGGAAACAAUCCAAGAGAAAGUUGGAAACUUGGAAAAGUUUGGGUUCUCGGAAGAAGAGAUUUGGCAUCUGUGUGGAAAAUGCCCAAUUCUUCUCACUCUUUCAGUUGAGAAAGUUCAGAGAAACAUGACUUUCGUCAUAGCCUCAAUGAAACUUCCAGCUCAUUCGGUGAUUAGGCACCCUUGUUUGCUUCUCCUCAACCUGGAGACUCAUCUAAAACCUCGUGCGGAUCUCGUUAAGAGAGUCUUGGAAAUGCGUCUACAGCCACUAAUAAAAGAAGUGAACAUUUUCAGAGCGCUGAGGAUGAGCGAGGAACGGUUCUUGAAGGUAUAUGUAAUGUGUCAUUCACAAGAUAUUGCAGCCGAGCUGAUGGAGUUUUAUGAGAAAUCCAAAAACAUGAAACGUUUGGCUGAGAAAUCCAAGAAAUACAUCCGUAAAGGAUUCCCCUUUUGAAUCUCUUUUUCAUUGGCCACUAUUCCAUUUUUUUCUUGUUUUAUGAAUUUGUAAACUACAGAUGUAACAUUGUGUAGAAUUUUUCGAUCUUCCAAAUUUUGUAGAAGGUGGUCCACAUUGCAUUUCAUGGUGUUCUUCUUAUCCAAGAGUUGCUCAGAUAAUGCAUCAUUUGAUUUUGGUUUGACGCGUUUCCUUUGUAGUUAUAAUCUCUCGUCUUUUUUCUUGGUUUGGUUAUAGUUUCGUUUAAUUGAGAUAUACAUAUAGUAACAGUUCGUUUUACUUUACGGUUUGGCUUUAGAAUCGGUUCACAUUUCGAUACAGUUUUGGUUUAAAAUAAAAUUACAAUUCCACCGGAAUAGGAAAAGUAUCAAACAAAACACAAAACGAGAAGAACCACGUUUUGGUGAAACGGCCAAAGACGCCCUAGACGUGUCUCUCUUCAUGACCCCGUUCGUGGCGGCAGUGACAAAAUCCUCCUUUUUUUUUUUUAUAAUAAAAACGUUCGCAAAGCUGCAACCUUUUUGGCUUUUAUAGUAGUAGUUGAAGAGAAUCAAUCUGACCUGACAGCUUAAAUAACUUUGGCGUCUUUGGAAGCCAAGCCAUCUGUGUUGAGUUGCAUUGCAUAGAGAAUUGAGGUGAUAUGGCGUCGACCCUUUUCUCCAGAAGUUUCUUGGCGGCUAGUCACCGCCUGAUUACUCCUCCUCUCUCUUCUCGUCUUCCUCAAACGACCUUUAGUUCCGCCGCCUUUCUCAGUGUAAGUCGAAACUCUAAAUCGAAUUUGAUCCGCGAUCCGUUAGCAUUCGUUUCGUAACUGCUGGGUUCUGGUGGUUCAUCUGUUUGAGAGUUCCUGGAUUGUUUUGGUGGGGUUUCGAAACAAACAGUAGUUUUGGUGGGGUUUCGAAACUGUUGAAUACGGAAAUGUGAUUUUAUUAUUUUUGAUGAGGUCUAUGUCAAUCGAUGCUUUUCUUAUUUAAGUUUGAAAUUUGACUGAUUAUCGGACUCUUUUGGUUGGUGUUCCGAUUGUGCGUUUGUGUGGUAAUUGCAGAAGAGAUCAUUCUACUCUCAUCUAGGUGUUGCUUCUACAGCCUAUAAAUCAACCACAUGGGCUCGUCGAGCCAUGGCUUUGGCUGGAGUUGGGACAAAAGCCGGUUACUCCACAUCAUCCAUAUCAACCAGUGAGCCUGUUGUUUCUGUUGAUUGGCUUCAUGCUAAUCUUAGAGAGCCUGAUUUGAAGGUGACUGACUCCCCUUGGUGCCUUUUUAUUUUUUUAUAACUUUGUCUGCCUUACUAAACCUUACCUGAUUUGAUUAUGCUCAGGUUUUGGAUGCUUCAUGGUACAUGCCAGAUGAACAGAGAAAUCCGAUCCAAGAAUAUCAGGUGAGAGUAGUAGAGAAGCUCUUGAAUUUCACAAAUGUUUGUGCUGUAUUUGUUCUGGAUGAGUGCAAGCGCUCUUAAGUAGUAGAGUUAGUUUACUACUUGAUACUGACGAACUUAAACUGACCCUCUCCUAUAGGUCGCUCAUAUUCCCCGCACUCUCUUCUUUGAUUUGGAUGGAAUAUCAGAUCGAAGAACUAGUGUAAGUAUCACCAUCUUCUUUUUUACAGAAGAUGUACCCGUGUAGUUUACUUUGAAGUUCUUUCUUCACGUUGAUCUCGGUUUUAUAAAUAAUUGAAAUAUAUAUUAGCUUCCUUUGCUGCCAUUUUCAAGAUAUGGUAUACAGCAUAUAUCUGUUUUUGUAAGAUCAAAUGAAAAGUCUGGACUCUUUGCUGUUAACGUAUGUAUUAUGUGUUUUGUUUAAGACUUCUCUUUGCUUCUAUCUUGUUUGUAACACAACCAUCUAAAGAAUUGUAUGAUUUAUCAACUACUUGUAACAGUUGCCACAUAUGUUGCCCUCUGAGGAAGCUUUUGCUGCUGGUUGUUCUGCUCUUGGAAUUGAUAACAAAGAUGAAGUGGUUGUUUAUGAUGGAAAGGGGAUCUUUAGUGCAGCCCGUGUAUGGUGGUGAGUUUUAUGGUUCUCGUUUGUUCUUUAAAUCCUUUUGCUUUGUUCCGUGUCUUUUUUUAAGUAUUGUUAGAAUUGAUAUGUGCUUCUUCAUUUUACUCUUAAAUAGGAUGUUCCGAGUUUUUGGACAUGAAAAAAUUUGGGUACUCGAUGGAGGUCUACCAAGAUGGCGUGCCUCAGGUUAUGAUGUUGAAUCUAGCGCAUCAGGUGAUGCUAUUCUGAAAGCCAGUGCCGCAAGUGAGGCUAUAGAGAAAAUCUAUCAAGGACAAACCGUAAGUUGUUCUUUUGGAUAAUGGUUCUCCAGUUUGCAUUCCCAUUCAUGAUGAGAUUUGAGCAGUAAAGAUAUGUUUUUUUGUUAUAUCAUUAUCUCUCUCGUGCUUGCACAGGUCAGUCCGAUAACCUUUCAGACAAAGUUUCAGCCACAUCUAGUGUGGACACUUGAUAAGGUUGGCAUUUCUGGAUGGUUUUGUCUUGGCUUUAAUGUUAUAUGAUUUCAUUAUUUCUUCGAUCAUUCUGUCUAUCGACCAUAAAUUUGAAUCUUCGUAAGAUAAUCCUAAAGAUGAUCCCACUUCAAGUUCUUUAAUUGGGUCUAUAUUAAUACCCAUCUUUCAGAAUUGUGUUUGUGAUUAUGAUAUUAUCAGUUCUACAAUAAUUUUCAGUGUGUUGGUAGAUGGUAGGCACCUUGUUUUGAGUUUUUGUUUGUGUUAUUCUAACUUGUUCAGAUUCUUAUUUUAUGUCAUGGCUCUCUUUGGUGAAUUUACAGGUCAAGAACAAUAUGGAGGAUCCGACUUAUCAACACAUAGACGCUCGUUCCAAAGCCAGGUAAUAUAAUUUAAUAAGUUAUUACUUGUGUGGACUAAUGAUUUGCCAAGGAAUUUAAGAAUUUUUUCCCUUUGUACUANNNNNNNNNNNNNNNNNNNNNNNNNNNNNNNNNNNNNNNNNNNNNNNNNNNNNNNNNNNNNNNNNNNNNNNNNNNNNNNNNNNNNNNNNNNNNNNNNNNNNNNNNNNNNNNNNNNNNNNNNNNNNNNNNNNNNNNNNNNNNNNNNNNNNNNNNNNNNNNNNNNNNNNNNNNNNNNNNNNNNNNNNNNNNNNNNNNNNNNNNNNNNNNNNNNNNNNNNNNNNNNNNNNNNNNNNNNNNNNNNNNNNNNNNNNNNNNNNNNNNNNNNNNNNNNNNNNNNNNNNNNNNNNNNNNNNNNNNNNNNNNNNNNNNNNNNNNNNNNNNNNNNNNNNNNNNNNNNNNNNNNNNNNNNNNNNNNNNNNNNNNNNNNNNNNNNNNNNNNNNNNNNNNNNNNNNNNNNNNNNNNNNNNNNNNNNNNNNNNNNNNNNNNNNNNNNNNNNNNNNNNNNNNNNNNNNNNNNNNNNNNNNNNNNNNNNNNNNNNNNNNNNNNNNNNNNNNNNNNNNNNNNNNNNNNNNNNNNNNNNNNNNNNNNNNNNNNNNNNNNNNNNNNNNNNNNNNNNNNNNNNNNNNNNNNNNNNNNNNNNNNNNNNNNNNNNNNNNNNNNNNNNNNNNNNNNNNNNNNNNNNNNNNNNNNNNNNNNNNNNNNNNNNNNNNNNNNNNNNNNNNNNNNNNNNNNNNNNNNNNNNNNNNNNNNNNNNNNNNNNNNNNNNNNNNNNNNNNNNNNNNNNNNNNNNNNNNNNNNNNNNNNNNNNNNNNNNNNNNNNNNNNNNNNNNNNNNNNNNNNNNNNNNNNNNNNNNNNNNNNNNNNNNNNNNNNNNNNNNNNNNNNNNNNNNNNNNNNNNNNNNNNNNNNNNNNNNNNNNNNNNNNNNNNNNNNNNNNNNNNNNNNNNNNNNNNNNNNNNNNNNNNNNNNNNNNNNNNNNNNNNNNNNNNNNNNNNNNNNNNNNNNNNNNNNNNNNNNNNNNNNNNNNNNNNNNNNNNNNNNNNNNNNNNNNNNNNNNNNNNNNNNNNNNNNNNNNNNNNNNNNNNNNNNNNNNNNNNNNNNNNNNNNNNNNNNNNNNNNNNNNNNNNNNNNNNNNNNNNNNNNNNNNNNNNNNNNNNNNNNNNAAAUAAAUCCUCUAACAGUGUCCGGUUUAGGCUAGUGUUAAGAGUUAGACUGACAAUCUGUAGAGGGUUAUGUCGUGUAGACAGGUUAGAUUUGUGCACAAACUUUCAUCAUUCCUUCGAAUCCAAUAAGUAGAAUACCUUGUUGAUUAUUAAACAAAUCCUAACAUUACACGUCUUACAAAGUACCGUAAGGACAUAGACUUAUAUGCUUAAUUUCACCCAAAAUUCCGUAGAUUUUAUAAUUAUAUAUCAUACAUCUCUAGAUUUUAUGAUACAAAAUCAUCUAACCUACAUUAUUUAAAAGUGGGUGCGUUAAUUUUUUUUAAUCAUUUAGCUACAAAUUUGCCACAGUGAAAACUUUACCAAAAGUUUCUAGUUACCCAACUAAACCUUUGACUGGUUCACCAAAUAUUAAUUAAUGAUUCUACAUCAACUUUGACACUUUGUCAUUAGAGAAUACGAUUUAUUAUCUGUCUAUUAUAGAAGAAAAAUUAUAUGAAGAUUUUAACUUUAUGUAUUGAUGUUAGGGCCUUGGUCGUGCGGUAUGUAGAGUGAGUGUUACAUAAAACCAUAUGUGUAUAACAAAAUUAAAAUUACUCACCAUUCAAUAGACUCUUAAAUUUUAUCAUUUACCUUUUAAACUAAAUAAAAAGUUACCUAAUAUUCCCUCUGUUUUAUUAUAAGUAAUGUUUAAGGUUUUAGUGCAUUAAUUAAUAAAACAUAUAAUUUACCUAUUUUUCAUAAAAACAUCAUUAACUAAUAUGAAUUUAACCAAUUAAAAAUAUGAUGUUAAAUGUAAAUGGUCAAAAAAUAUUAAAUAUAUUAAAUUUUUGCGUAUGAAAUUAUAAACAUCACUUAUAGUAAAAUAAAAAAAAUUGGGUAAAACAUCAUUUAUAAUGAAAAAGAAGAGUAAUUAACUAAAAGUUAGAUAAGAAUCCAUCGGUUUACGGUCCAAUCAAAAAAAUAAAAUAUAAGUAUACUUUAAAAUUAUUUUCUUGUAUUUAAUAUAAUUUACAAGUAUGCAUUUUAAAUUAACGUCUGAUUUGAUACUAUGAUAUAAAUUAGAACCAAAACGUUCAUCCUAAUUUCACGCGCCAGGGAUCUAAUAGAAAAUAGUUUUUGACAUCUUUUCGUUAAAAACAGCGUUUUUGGUGGGUUAUAGUCCAGGCAUUUUGACCACACGCGCUAUACGCGCAACUGAUGCGCGUGGUUUUAACAGAAGUAGUGUAUCCCGAUAACAUGUGGGCUCUAUAUAUUAAUUAAGACCCAUGAAUAUAUGGACUUUGACGGGCCCAAUUCCUAUAUACCAUAACUCCAUCAUGGACUAUUGUUUUACUGGCCCGCGUCAUUAUUUAUUUUCCAUGGAUUAUCAUUACAAAUCGAAUUGGCUAAUAAAAAGUCAUAGACUUACAACAGUUCACACUCUAAACACUUCAUUAUUUGAUGAGUAAUGUGAUUAACAUCUCACGAACAACACGUAUUUUAUAUAGAAAGAGAGAGAUCUAGCCCCAAGGCUCAAGCCAUGCUCUGGAAACCUGCCCCAUGGUCAGAGCCAAAGCUUUACGUGGCAGGCUGGCAGCCAUUUGGUUGGUCAAAAGGACUCUGUUUUGAUCUUUUAUCAUCUGUUGGAUUUACGCUUCCUGAUAUGUUCUCGAACUUGUUUCAUAAAGAACCUUUUAAUGACAGGUACUUCACACCGAGUAAGCUCUGCACCCUUGGAGUCAACCAAUUGAUUUGUUAUUGAUGUUCCAUUCAAGUCCAGUGCUUUCAUUGUGUUGGUACCAGCGAGCUCAGGAGACGCAGUGACAUUUGUGCAACCACGAAGAUACAAGUACUUGAGUUGUGCCAGUUUCUUUAGCGUUGGCGGAAGGUUCAUGAGCUUCUCACAGCCAGACAUAUUGAGAUAACGAAGCUCUGUAUUUCCCCCUGCUGUUGAAGGCACUGCUUCUAUUGCUGUUCUGUUCAGAUUCAACCAUUGUAUGUUUGUUCCGACUACUGGAAAUGACGUUACGUUUGGACAGUUUGCGAGACCAAGAUCAGUGAGAGACUUCAGGUUCUUGAUGCUGUCAGGGAGAUUCAUCAGUCUCUUGCAGCUGGAGAGGCGUAGCUCUCUGAGACGAGAGAGGCGUUCGAUUGAUGGUGGUACUUGUUGAAUAGUCGUCUCGUUCAGAAGUAAUUUCUCGACAGUGUCUGAGAUAAAUGGGAACUCUUCCAAGCUAGUGCAUCCGUCCAGAUGAAGAAAUCUGAGGGAUUUUAAGUUGAUGUUGUUUGGGAGGCUCCUUAGUUGCUUGCAGUUGCUCAGUUUUAGGUGGACGAGUUUGUUGAGUUUUCUAAGAGAGGACUCGGGGAUUUCCACCAAGUUAUCACAAUUGGAGAGUUUCAGAAUCUCAAGAUUAGUCGCCUUUGAAAGGUCUGGAAACUCGGUGAGGUGCUUGCAGCUUGUGAGGUUUAGGCUCUGUAAGUUUGCAAGGUCCUGCACCAUAAUGACAAGAGAAGAAGCAUGAGCAAUAUUAUUCAAGAGGAGAAGAAGAAGCUCCUGUUGAUACCAUAUCAAAAUGGUACCUGAGUUCCAUUCCAAACUGUUUCUAUCGAGCUGUGUGAGAGGUUGAGUUCAACUAGAGAGGUCAUACAAAACUGAGAUGGCAAUGAUUUAAGAUUAUAAGCAUCCCAACGAAGAUACCGCAGCGUAGGGAGGUAGUUGAGGCCAUCCAACAUCCUUGUUCUGCUCUGUCCAAUGCUGGAAUUGGUAUAAAAUUUAAGUAGUUUGAGAUUUGGCAUCCUCCUAAAGAUUUCAGGGGUUAUGUUGAGCUCAUUUCCAUUAGACAUGUCGAGAAAUAUGCUUUCCACCUCAAUUGAUUCAUCCCCCUAGAGAUAAAAUAAACAUUGAAUUGUCGAGAUCCAAGAAAUGAGACAUAAGAGUGAGCUAAAUUAAUAAAGAUGAUCGAUCAGCUUACCACAUUGGUGGAGAAAACGUGAUUUAUAUCCUCAAAAUCCCACAGCAUUAAACGUUUCCAUGGCCUUUCAUCUUUGCCUUCACAUAUGAUAUCCUCAGCCAUGUCUUGGAGCAAGUCAUGAACCCACAAUCGAUUUGUGUUUUUUGACAAGCUAAUCAUACACCUCUCCAUCAGAGCUAUAAUACUCGGUCUGGUGGGCAAUUUUCUGCGCCUGGAAGACACGAAAAACAGGUCUAAUAAUUUUCUAACUCUGUCCAUACUUACUCCGUUGAAACAAAGCGCAAUGUAAAGAAAGAUCUUCUUUUCUAGCUCAUCCAAUGCCUCAUAACUUACUCUUAACCCCUUCAACAGUGAAUUAUCGCUGUUAUGUCUCAGCAAAUCCAGUUUGUCUUCCCAGAAUUCUAGGUCCCGGCGAUAUAGAGAUCCUCCGACGAGUUGAAGUGCUAAUGGAAGACCACCAAGCUGCUUCACAACAUCUAUUGAGAGCUCUCUAUAAUCUUCACAUGGACGAGGUUGCUUGAAGGCAUGCUUGCUAAAGAGCUGAAGUGCUUGAGUGGUCCUCAGAGGCAUCACUUCAUAGAUACGUUCGACAUCAUGCAGGUCUAGAACACGUCUGUCUCGAGUGGUGAUAAUGAUUCUGCUUCCUGGUCCAAACCAGUCAGGUUUUCCAGCCAAUUCGUUUAGCUGUUGUAUAUCGUCAACAUCAUCAAGAAUAAGAAGAAUCCUUUUGCCACGUAAUCGUUCUAUCAUCACAUCGGAAUCUCUAUUCCAUGAAUUCAUGUCUUUCUUUCGGAAGAUUUCUGACAAGAUUUUCUCACGUAAAUGUGAUGGACCAUACCGUUUAAAGUCUCUUUUCACAUUCUCUAAAAAGGAAGCACCAUCGAACUCGCUCAAGAAGACUUUAUAGACAUAUUUUGCGAUGGUGGUUUUGCCUAUACCACCCUUUCCCCAAAUUCCGAUCAUUUGGACAUCAUGAGGAUCUAGGCUCAUCAAAGGAUAUAUACUUCUCAUGUGUGUACUCAUUCCUAUCAAUUCACCAGUAUAACUGGAAGACACUGGUGAGAACAAUCUGUCGGAAAGAUCUUGAACAAGCUCUUCGAUAAGCUUCGACUCCUCGUUCCUAAAUCAAGAUGUUCAGUUCUCAAACAAUGAAAUUGUAUCUGUGUAAAUGUCAGUAGAAGCUGGUAGCCAGAGAAUCUAAAUGUGCUCACCAGUUCCGGGAAUCCCAGCCAGAGAUCAAUCCUAUGUUGGCCAUGGCUUUUCUCCAUGUUUCCACAGUUUUUGUAUCAGGUCUCUUGUCGUGCUCAGCAAAGGCCUUGGCGAAAUUCCCAGAUUGUUUCUUCACAUGAGAAGGGUCAACGCCAAAGAAAACGGGGAUCAGUUCGAGGCGUUUCUUCUCCACGUAAUCUGUGAUGUGCACAAGCUCUUGCAAACACCAGCGAGAAGUCGCGUAGUUCUCAGAGAGCACGACGACGGCGAAUCUCGACUGUUCAAUGGCUUCCAAGAGCGCCGGGCUGAUGAAACUGCCACGCUGGAGUUCUGUAUCGUCACGGAAAGUGUGGAUCCCCUUGUCGGUGAGAGCUUUGUAGAGAUGACUGAGGAAUCCUUUGCGUACAUCCGUUCCCCUGAAGCUGAGAAACACAUCGUACUUCCACAAGGACCGGGACGAGGAGGAUGAGGCCAAUGUUUCCGCCGCCGGAGUAACGCCUGUGAAAGUCACAGGAUGUAAAAGUUGCGUUGCUUUUUCUCUCCUGAGAAGAAAGUGAAGGAGACGUCCUAGUCCCAACCAGACGACAAGGACAGAGAAAAUACCGAAGAAAAAAACUGCAGCCAUACAGCAAAAGAAAAUACAGUACUAUAGUCGUUCAAGGAAACUCAUAAAGUCACAUUUCGGAGACUUGAUUUCUAUCAGGGUCCACACGGACAUUCACCUUUUGACCGACACGAUUAAUUCAUGGAUCAUUGAAAUCUAAUAACCUGAUUAACAAUGUAUUCAAUGCUUUUUAUUUUAUUUUUCCUUUUUUGGUGAUCGAGAGAACCGUCUUCUUACCGCCAUACAUAUCAACGUGGUCCUAAAUUCCAGUAAGACCUUUGAUUAUAAGCCACUCAAAUGAUUUUGUUCGUGCAAGUGAAACAUCGGCAUCCUGUAACCUAUAUCAAACAACACAUACUAAUGAUAUAAUUAGAGAGAACCCAAGGAUGCGCCAAAACCAACCUAUUAAUCUUCUCCUCCAUAACAAACCAAAGAAAAAUGAACGAUCAUAAUUUAUAUUAUAUAACGUCAACCCUCUCAACAUUAACAGAUGCAGCAAUCUAAGGCGAUUAUCUUUAACAUUUACAAAAUAGAAUCUUAAACAUCCAAGACUUUUCAACUCUCUCGGAAAAUAGAUAAUAUACAAAAUCCCGUCUACACUCCAAUCACAAUGCUUCCCAUGAAAACUUCAUAAACUGCAACACCAGCGUGGGCUUCAACGUUUGAUAACAACUGCAUCACAAUCACAACAUGACGAAUCAAAAUGAGGUUCCUCUAAGAACCGAAUAUUGAGAUAACAUCAUUUUUGCAAUUGUAGAGGCAAGUCAAAGCAACCACAUCAACGGUCCCAUACCUGAUCUAAGCAACUCUAUGGUAAACAGAAAAGGUACAUCAGUGAUUUCAUUGAACACUAACUUUAACCUAAGACCAAGGACGAGGAACAACAAUCCAGCAAUAUACCACAAUCAUCCUCUUCACCUGCAGUUUGUUCAUAUACUACCUGACUAAACUAAUAACACUACACAAAAAGACCUCAAAGUUGAAACCUCACAUGAACAGCUGACAACAGGCAAUCAGUAGCAUCCUUUGGUAUCAUUGUACACUGUAUAACCACAUGGGACCCUUCAGCAUCAAAGAAGUUCAUACUUAACAAUCUUAUAAGGCCAUGACCCCACGAGAGUUUGGUCAAAUCUCCGGGUAAGUGUUAGGCAAGGCAAAUAACAACCGCAAACGUGAAGAAAGUAACAGGGAUAUAAACCUGAAACGGAAUACACUUCAGUAACCUUUUAACUUCACCCCACGAGAGUUUGGUCAAAUCUCUGGGUAAGUGUUACCUUGCAUCAAGUAAUACAUGAACCGAUGAAAGGGAAGGCAACUAAGCACCUCAAAAAUGAAGUAACAAGAAUAUAAACUAAAACGGGAUAGACACUUCAAUAACCUUUUAACUUCCCCCUACGUAGAAGAUUGUAAGCCUCUCAGAGUUGUCUUCCUACACAAAAUGUUUAAAUGUUGUGCAUUUCAACCAAUGAGACACAAAGCUUAUAUAAUCAAGUAUUUAUCGUCCCAGUAAAUCUGUAAGCAAAACUCACUUGUCUAGUCUCUUCCUGCAAACAUAACACUCGCUUGUCCCUUCUUUAAAAUUCUGCCUCGUACAGGAAAACACAUCUUUCUUUUUGGAAUAAAAAUCACCUUCAGUGAACUCAAAAAGACUUUCCCAUGAAAACUUCACAAACUGCAACCCUAACAUAGGCUUCAAUGUGUGACGGAGCAUAUUAAGGUUCACGAGAUGAUUAGUUGAGGAAACAUCACUUCCCCAAUCGUAAGAUCUCAACAAAAGUAACUAGAAUGGAGAUUUUUCGUGUUAGCCAGAGAGUUUUUCCCUGCAAGCCAAUAUGUCCAAGGACUACGAUUUGGAGGUAACAAUCCUACAACAUAUUUAAUCAAUCUCCACCAGAAGUAAGCAUAUUAAGCCUCACCUGAAAGCAAACAACACAUGUGUCCCCCACAAAAAUCAAUUGAGGACUUCAUUAUCAAAUGUUUCAGAACCAUUAAAACCAGCCAGGAAGAAAGAAACCUCAGAAGUCAGAAAUAAAGACGAAUAUCAUCAAAACCAAUGUGCCUGCUAUGAGCCAGCCCCCAUGAGGUCACACAACCAGCAAGAAUCACUUAAAUAAAUACCUAACUGAAGAGAAUAUGAGCAUACACCAUGACCAUUACUAACAAUCAGUGUGGACCUACAAAAUAACUCGAUGUGGCAGACUAGCAGUUUUAUGACCACCAAAAUACGAUGUAUAAAUGUUGAGGUAUAUGAUGAAACCUAUAAUCUUCAAAAGCUUCAGACAUUAACCAGAUAUUGCUGAAAAACUGAGAAUCAUCAUCAAAAGGCCAGAAGACUAAAUCUUAAAAUCAAUAGAACAAGUAUAAACUCUGAGCGUCCACACCUUCAGAUAUGUCAGCCUACAGAGUUUUUCAACCAUCCUGUCCAGGUAAAUCCCAGAGCAUGAAACAGAAGAGUCACCAAAACAAAAAGUUUUUAUGCAUAACUGACGAGCGAACUCAAAGAACCUUCAAUGUUACCUUCUCUUGCUGGAGAACAGACCAACCCAUAAGUAAAAUAUACUGGAUCCUCAAAAUCUGUAGCACAGUUCCGCUCAGAGAGAAGCAGAAGACAACAAAAUUAAUAGCAUCAACUCUCAGGAAAUAAAUAGCCUCGUCAAAGCAGAAACAAAGAAGAAAAGAUGGAACCCUUCAAUUGGAGGUUGGAGCUUACUUUUCUUUAAUACCCAGUAAACUAUAACAGUCAGAAGUAAUUCAAAAAUCAACAAAGACGCAAUAAUCAAAAGCCAAAGAAACCUAAGAAUCAAACCUCAGAAGAAAAGUAGCUCAUAACACCUGACCUGGAUCUACCAGAUAUGGAAGAUCCAAAUUUGUCCCUACUGAGAGAUAACUAGGCAAAUUCAUGAUGUACAGUUACAGGGAGUGUAGUCGAGCAGACCAAAACCUUUGCAAAAUCAAACUCCAAUGCAAUGAUAAGUUUCAUCCAGUAGUAGCAAUUAGCAUCUAUAUAGAAAAGAUGCAGCAGACAGGAACUGAUCACAUCUCCACCAAAUAUAAUAGUAACCAAAACAAAAAAAAAGGCACACCACGGGUUAAGAAAAUACUGCAAAUUCAAACUUCGAUGCCCAAAAAAACCAAUAAGAGAUCCUGGCUCCUUCACAUCCUCAACAUACCAAAAAAUCAAAAGAAUCUCCCCCCUAUCACAGUCCAGAGCUCAGGAAGUGCAACAGACUUCAAAAUCCAGGAUGUACGAAACAACAGAUUGCAGAAAAUCCAAAAAAGAGGAACAAGAAAACCUGAGUAACAACAUGUCUAGCUUUCUGCAUAAGAGGCACUCAGACUUGAAGCUGUUCAAUACAAAAAAAUAAUUUAGUAGACACAUCUAUGAUGAAAAGGACAGGAAAAACAUUAGAGUUAGCAAUCAUCAGAUACAUAAAAGCAUUGAAUACAAAAACUAGGUAAAAGGACAAGACAUAGGAACAAACUCGUUUGGGAGGGAUCUAUGAUCAUCUUUAGUCUGAGUGUGUGAGGUGAAUUGUGAAGAAAUUCUGGGAAACAGAGACACAGGAAAAAUCAUACCUCACCAACAAUACAACAGCCAACUUUUAAGUAAAAAAUGAAUGGGUAAAAAGGUAUGUAGAUGCAAAGUAACCAGAGACACGAUAUAGGCAAACCAUCUUUCCCUCUCAUUAUGCUUGAACCUUUCUCCAAAAUUAGAAAAGAAAACAUCAAGUAAUAGGGAAAUAAGAAACCAAAAAAAUAAAACAAAAGGAGAUAAGAAACCGCCAGAGAGGUAACAUGAAGCACAAGAUCAAACACAUCUUUAAGCUCAAAAUAUAUACCUAUAAACAAAAGAAGAAUUUCACAUCAGAAAAAAAAACCACGCCACAAGAAUAUGAGAGUAUGAUAAGACUCUAAACAUAGAUGUAGCAUAAAAGAUAAGACCAACAGAAAGAAAGGGGAAAGAAACCAGUUAGUAGCCGGACGUUUCUCUCUUUUAGAACCUCACAACCUAUAACAAAAGAUCAUAAAACAUAGAUGCUAACAUCACUAGCAAGAUCAGCAGACAUUACUAUUAACCUGAAACAUCCAAUAACAAAGUAUAUGGAAACAAUCAUAUUGCUGAAAGAAUGCACAAGGAAAAGAAAACGAAAAACCUGAACACACAUGACCAGCCUUCUGCAUCAGAGAUCUCAGACUUAGCAGAUCUAAUAGACAUAAGACAUUCAAUACAAAAUAAACUUUAAAAAGAAAAGUAUAAGAACAAACUCCUCUCAUAUGAAUGUGUGGAGACACAGCAGAGACUCUUAGAGAAGUGACUGAUGUUGAAAAUCUGGAAAACACAGAGUAGAGCACCGAUCAAACCUAACCAACUAUAGCCAACAUUGAAUAAAUCAACCAAUAGCAAAAAGUGUAUAUAUGCGAAGUAACCAGAAACUCGUUUGGGAGGACUGUAUGAUCAUCUUUAGUCUGAUUGUGUAAACGGAAACAGAAUGAAGUGGUUUGUGAAGAAAAUCUGGGACACAGACACAGGAAAAAUCAUACCUCACCAGCAAUAUCAAUCUUAAAUUAAACAAUCUAUAGAUAAAAAGUUGUAUAGAUGUGAAGGAACCAGAAACCAAUAUAAUAUGCAACCCUUCCUUUUCUCCCGCAAUGCCUUGAACUUCUACAAUCUAAAUAGAAACUUCUCCAAAAAUUAAAAAAGAAAAACAUCAGGUAAUAUGGAAAUAAGAAACCCUAAAAAUAAGACAAUGGGAGAUAAGAAAACCGCCAGAGAGGUAGCAGGGAACCAUUAGAUAAAAAUCUUUCAAACUCGAUAUAUAUACCUACAAAGAAGGGGACCAUUUGACAUAAAAAACCCACCGUCAAAAGCAUAUGAAGAGAGUAUGAUCAAAUACUAAAAAUAGAUGUAACAUGAGAGAUAACAUACUACCAACAUAAAUAAAGGGGAAAAAAACAUAGUAACCUGACGCUUCUCUUUUUAGAACUCACUGCCUUAAAUAGAAGACAAAGACUUGUAAGCAUAAAAUAUAAGUGCUAACAUCGCUAAGAAGAUCUGUUAACCUGAAACAUCCAAUAACAACUCUGUGGAGACAACAGAUUGCUGAAAGAUACCCAAACGAAUAACAUUCAAUACAGAAACUACUUGCAAAGGAAAAAUAAAAAGAGUAAAUGAACAAACUCAUUAGGAAGGUAAUUCAAGGUCAUCUUUCAUAUGGAUAUGUGAAGACAGCAGAGAAACAGAGAGAAGAGACUGAUGUAGAAAUCUGGAAACACACAAUAAGACACACAGGACAGAUCAUAAUCAACCAACAACAAAAGCCUAAAAUAAUAUAAAACAACCAAUAACAAAAAGGUGAAUAGAUGUGAGUUAACCAGAAACACGAAAUCAUACUCAACCAAGCCUUCUCUCCCACAAUGCCUUCAACUUCUUAGAUCUAAACCAAAGAUUUCACCCAAAAAAAUUAGAAGGAAAACCACACGUAAUAUAGGACUCUAAAAAGGAAACAAAGGGGAAUAAGAAAACAGCCAAAGAUGUAACAUCAGGGAGCGACGACAGAUCAAAUAUAUCCUUCAAGAUAAACUGAGACGGAAUAGAACAGAGGUAAUCGUGAUUGUAACAAGGAAAGUAAAAAAUAUGUAACACGAGAAAUCAGAAGAAACCAACAGAUAGGGGAGAAGAAAUCUACAACACAGCAAUCCCAUUGCCUCCACGAUCUGCGUCAAACAGAGAGAUAUCGCUUAUGUAGAAAAAGCCAAAAAAAACAAAAAGUAUUGGGAAAGAGGAGAAAAAUCAAACAGAUAUAACGAUCAAUCAAACCAUCACCGGUCGAUCUUAGUAUCUUCCACAAUCACCAAUCAAUCAUAGUACCCUCCUAAAUCAAAAAUAGAACGAGGAGUAAAUAUAACAUAAAUUGAAAAAGGUAAAAAUUCAGAAGCUAGAUCGAGGAUCGGAUCAAAAAAUCGAUUUAAGACGUAGCCUAGAGAAACCAGGUGACAAAGAUCCAAAAAAACCAAUCACCGAUCAUAGCAUCAUCCAAGAUCUACAACAACAUGACGACAAGGAAACAAAAAGUGGUGAAAAUACAGAAUCGAAAGAGAUGAUCGGAUCAUAAUUGGCAUCCAAAACAUCUGCGAGACGAAGAGACGUAAGUAAGAAAACGAAAAUCAGAGGAAGAGCACCCCCUGAAGACGUAGCGCAGAGACGCAACAGAGAAACAACAAAUCCACCAAAGCCAUCACCAAGAGAUCAAAGCAUCGAUCCAUCACCAAGAGUAAACCACAUGAACANNN